CCUACGGGAGGCAGCAGUGGGGAAUAUUGGACAAUGGGCGCAAGCCUGAUCCAGCCAUACCGCGUGUGUGAAGAAGGCCUUUUGGUUGUAAAGCACUUUAAGCGAGGAGGAGGGCACUUUGGCUAAUACUCGAAUGUGUCGGACGUUACUCGCAGAAUAAGCACCGGCUAACUCUGUGCCAGCAGCCGCGGUAAUACAGAGGGUGCGAGCGUUAAUCGGAAUUACUGGGCGUAAAGCGCGCGUAGGCGGCUUGUUAAGUCGGAUGUGAAAUCCCCGGGCUCAACCUGGGCACUGCAUUCGAUACUGGCAAGCUAGAGUAUGGGAGAGGAAGGUAGAAUUCCAGGUGUAGCGGUGAAAUGCGUAGAGAUCUGGAGGAAUACCGAUGGCGAAGGGCAGCCUUCUGGCCUAAUACUGACGCUGAGGUGCGAAAGCAUGGGGANCAAACAGGAUUAGAUACCCUGGUAGUCCAUGCCGUAAACGAUGUCAACUAGCCGUUGGGGACCUUGAGUCCUUAGUGGCGCGNGCGACGCGUAGUAGUUAGACGUCCGUUGGGAGGUACGGUUCGCGAGACGAACGUUACGAAGGAAGUUAGACGGCGNGAGACGNGCGACGGACGACGACGAGGGAGUAGG
RNAcentral lists this ribosomal RNA (632 nucleotides) under uncultured bacterium. RNAcentral describes it as "bacterial SSU rRNA". The stretch from base 1 to 546 matches the Rfam family "Bacterial small subunit ribosomal RNA", at positions 338 to 873 of the family's 1533-position model. The record is from RNAcentral.